GAACAGUUUUUCUUACAACCCGUCCGUGUUCUCGGUGCUCUGCUUGUCGGGAUUAUUACGAGUUUUUACUGACUUCAUGCAGAGAUCCGAUCUGAUGCAACUUUCCGCCUGGACCACCUGCACUAAGUCCACUAACUCAAAAUGGAACCACCUCCAGAACCAGAGCCCCUCCCGGGUCCAA
This is a long non-coding RNA of Melanotaenia boesemani (Boeseman's rainbowfish), 181 nucleotides long. RefSeq lists it as uncharacterized. The transcript is spliced from 3 exons. The record is from RefSeq and is a predicted model, not a curated record. NCBI's taxonomy places the organism in Eukaryota, Metazoa, Chordata, Actinopteri, Atheriniformes, Melanotaeniidae.